RNAcentral lists this ribosomal RNA (100 nucleotides) under Synechococcus sp. TMED187. RNAcentral describes it as "partial 16S ribosomal RNA". It matches the Rfam family "Bacterial small subunit ribosomal RNA", at positions 1 to 103 of the family's 1533-position model. The record is from RNAcentral. Lineage: Bacteria; Bacillati; Cyanobacteriota; Cyanophyceae; Synechococcales; Synechococcaceae.
GAAUUGAUCUACAACGGAGAGUUUGAUCCUGGCUCAGGAUGAACGCUGGCGGCGUGCUUAACACAUGCAAGUCGAACGAACCUUCGGGUUAGUGGCGGAC